RNAcentral lists this transfer RNA (73 nucleotides) under Dictyocaulus viviparus (bovine lungworm). It matches the Rfam family "tRNA". Rfam says of the family: Transfer RNA (tRNA) molecules are approximately 80 nucleotides in length. Their secondary structure includes four short double-helical elements and three loops (D, anti-codon, and T loops). Lineage: Eukaryota; Metazoa; Nematoda; Chromadorea; Rhabditida; Metastrongylidae. The record is from Rfam by way of RNAcentral.
GCUUCGGUAGUGCAACUGGUAGGUACAACAUACUCAACAUCUGUAGAUGUGGAUUCGAGUCCUACCUGAAGCU